This 204-nucleotide long non-coding RNA is filed under the name Lathyrus oleraceus (garden pea). Its description in RNAcentral is "Pisum sativum (pea) long non-coding RNA (PSAT_LNC011010)". The record is from RNAcentral. Lineage: Eukaryota; Viridiplantae; Streptophyta; Magnoliopsida; Fabales; Fabaceae.
AGGCAUAUAUAACUUGAUCUCCAAUAAAAAUCACUUUAUAAACAACUUGUCAAUUACCAUCACUUGAUAAAAAACUUGUCAAGCACCAUCACUUUAGCUAACACAUCAAACACCAUCAUUUAAACAAUCAUAUCCUUGAAAAACAAGAUUGAUGAAGACUCAUAUUAAGAGUAUUUUCAACAUCAAAAUCAAGUUAACAUGUUG